RNAcentral lists this ribosomal RNA (434 nucleotides) under uncultured bacterium. RNAcentral describes it as "partial 16S ribosomal RNA". It matches the Rfam family "Bacterial small subunit ribosomal RNA", at positions 338 to 786 of the family's 1533-position model. The record is from RNAcentral.
CCUACGGGUGACAGCAGUGGGGAAUAUUGCACAAUGGGGGAAACCCUGAUGCAGCGACGCCGCGUGAGUGAAGAAGUAAUUCGUUAUGUAAAGCUCUAUCAGCAGGGAAGAAAAUGACGGUACCUGAGUAAGAAGCCCCGGCUAACUACGUGCCAGCAGCCGCGGUAAUAAGUAGGGGGCAAGCGUUAUCCGGAUUUACUGGGUGUAAAGGGAGCGUAGACGGCAGUGCAAGGCUGGAGUGAAAGGCGGGGGCUCAACCCUCGGACUGCUCUGGAAACUGUACGGCUGGAGUGCAGGAGAGGUAAGUGGAAUUCCUAGUGUAGCGGGGAAAUGCGUAGAUAUUAGGAGGAACACCAGUGGCGAAGGCGGCGUACUGGACUGUAACUGACGUUGAGGAUCGAAAGCGUGGGGAGCAAACAGGAUUAGAUAUAGUC